Molecule: ribosomal RNA, 458 nt
Filed under: uncultured bacterium
Lineage: Bacteria
Description: SSU rRNA
Rfam family: Bacterial small subunit ribosomal RNA
Source: RNAcentral
AGAAUCAACGCUGGCGGCGUGCCUAACACAUGCAAGUCGAACGAGAAAGGGGCUUCGGCCCUGAGUAAAGUGGCGCACGGGUGAGUAACACGUGACUAACCUACCCUGGAGUGGGGAAUAACUGAGGGAAACCUUAGCUAAUACCGCAUAAUACCUACGAGUCAAAGGAGCAAUUCGCUUCAGGAGGGGUCGCGGCCGAUUAGUUAGUUGGCGGGGUAAUGGCCCACCAAGACAGUGAUCGGUAUCCGGCCUGAGAGGGCGCACGGACACACUGGAACUGAAACACGGUCCAGACUCCUACGGGAGGCAGCAGUGGGGAAUUUGCGCAAUGGGGGAAACCCUGACGCAGCAACGCCGCGUGGAGGAUGAAAUCCCUUGGGAUGUAAACUCCUUUCGAUCGGGACGAUUAUGACGGUACCGGAAGAAGAAGCCCCGGCUAACUUCGCGCCAGCAGCCGC